Molecule: long non-coding RNA, 318 nt
Organism: Saccostrea cuccullata (small rock oyster)
Lineage: Eukaryota; Metazoa; Mollusca; Bivalvia; Ostreida; Ostreidae
Exons: 3
Source: RefSeq, a predicted model, not a curated record
GACCGCCAUAGCGGAAGGAACGAAGCAUGUGCCCCUAGAUGAGUAGAUCUAUCUUGCGGCGAACAUGCAUCAGACUCGACGCGAUAUGCAGUCAGCACUGGUUAUUUUGUUGUUAAACUUAUCAUUAGGGGCCUACCAUGCUGCCGUUACUCAUUCGUGGUGUAUAUCUGCAUUCGAUCAACAAAAAGAGGUACCAGUUUGAAAAUCAUAAGGAAAAGAAUCCAUCUGUCUUCUGAUGAGGGAACGCAACAAACUUAUUCCUCACAAACACUGUCGUCCGAAUCUGAGUCAUCAAUUGCUGCUGCAUCCUGAAGCGAU